RNAcentral lists this ribosomal RNA (969 nucleotides) under Perkinsus chesapeaki. RNAcentral describes it as "LSU rRNA". It matches the Rfam family "Eukaryotic large subunit ribosomal RNA", at positions 43 to 885 of the family's 3401-position model. Lineage: Eukaryota; Perkinsozoa; Perkinsida; Perkinsidae. The record is from RNAcentral.
UAAGUAAGCGGAGGAAAAGAAACUAACUAGGAUUCCCUUAGUAAUGGCGAAUGAACAGGGAUCAGCUCAGUGCCUAAUCAGAAUCACUUGUGGUUCUGAAAUGUGGCUUGAAGGCAGUACCAGUGGCAACGCGGACGAAAGUCUCUUGGAAAAGAGCGUCAUAGAGGGUGAGAAUCCCGUGAGUCGUUUGCAGUUUGUCACGUACGGUCUGUGUUCUAACGAGUCGCGUUCCUUGGGAUUGGAGCGUAAACGGGUGGUAAAUUUCAUCCAAAGCAAAAUAUAUACUCGAGACCGAUAGCACAAAAGUACCGUGAGGAAAGGUGAAAAGAACUUUGAGAAGAGGGUUAAAUAGUGCCUGAAAUCGUUGAGAAGGAAGCGGAUGCCGCCGUUGCAUAUGCUGAUUGUAGGAUUGCUGCAUGCUUGUGUCUUCUGCUACUUAUACACAGACCUAGUCGUGUUGAGCAGUUGUUUGGCACUCGUGCGUGGUGUUUCCUGCUUUCAGCCGUCAGCAUCAUUGGUUGAGCGGAAAUAAUCCUUGGAUGCUAAUUGGUUCGCUAUGCGAAUUGGUUGCUUCUUUGCGAUACUCGCUGCUCGGUCAAUGAGGAAGUGCGUUUGAUGGUCAACGAGUUGUCUCACUGUCAUUACCCUGCGCUUUUCGAUUCGUCGAGUUGCCAGGAUGUGGCUCUAAGAUUGCUCGCACUUAGUAAUCGCGAUGCUGGCUUCCAACGGUUGCCUCCGGCCCGUCUUGAAACACGGACCAAGGAGUCUAACGUAUGUGCGAGUGUGUGAGUGGCAAACUUAUACGCGUAAUGAAAGUGAGCCGUAUGGCCAUGUUGGGGUCACCAACAACCGACCUUGAUCUUCGGUGAAAGGUUUGAGUAUGAGCAUAUCCGUUAGACCCGAAAGAUGGUGAACUAUGCCUGAGCAGGGUGAAGCCAGGGGAAACUCUGGUGGAGGCUCGUAGCGAUA